This 2740-nucleotide long non-coding RNA is filed under the name Hordeum vulgare. RNAcentral's name for it is "long non-coding RNA (HVUL_LNC014866)". Lineage: Eukaryota; Viridiplantae; Streptophyta; Magnoliopsida; Poales; Poaceae. The record is from RNAcentral.
UCCCGAGGCGUUAAAAGGAGCCCGAGACCUCCUCCUCCGCCCUAGGGUUCCCUCUCCUUUCCUCCCCAGCGCCGCCAGUUUCCCUAGUGCCCUCGUUCUUCCCUGGUAAGUCCUGAGAGAGAGCAGAGAGAGAGGGUGCAGCGCCUCCCCCGUCAAGCCGCCGAUCCGUCGUCUCCGGCACUGGGCGCCAUGUCCGGGGGCUCGGGGUGAGUCCCCGCGUCCCAUUCCCGGCGCUAGGACCCCGAGGAGCGGCCCCCCCCGUCGAGCUCGUCCUCGUCAACGGGACGAACCGGGCGAUCCGCGUCCGUCUCCUUCUUCGGUCUUCGGCGGGACGACUUCGUCCGGCCGUCUUCUUCCUCUCCGACGCUCCUCCUCCCCGUUCGACGCCCCUCUUCUCCUCAAGGUGAGGCCGCGUCCUCGUCCUCCUUCCUUCCGCCUCCGCGGUCCGGCUCGUUCCAGCGUGUGUGCAUUUCUCUGUCCGAUAGUUGUGUGUGGGGGUGCAGUUGUCGCGAGUGGAGCAGGGUGGGGUAGGUAUGUUAUGGAGGUACCGUGCAGGAGAGGGCUUCCUCCCCCUCUCUGCAGCAGCGCCAUGAUCAGAGGAGCUCUCCUCGCCGCCGGCAGCUGGGGUCGUGUCACCUAGGUCUCGGUAGGCGUAUAUCAUCAGAGAAGAGCUUGCAGUUUGCACAGGGUUUCCUCCCCGCGUAGGUGGGCACCCAGCAGGUGCGGGUCUUCUCCUCGCGUCCCUCAGCGCCGAAUGCAUGAGCUCCACGCCGGCCGUGCAGCGUAGCGACGCAGGCAGGGCUGCCCGUCAAGCUCUCUGUCCCGUGCUCCCAGGCGAACUGCAGGAUGCAGGAACGCCGCUGCAGUUCAAGGCAGCCAAAGGGUGCUCCUUCUCCCGUGCUUAGACCAAAAAUGGGUUCCCCGAGAGUCCCGCGGGCCCCGCCGUCGGUUUUCCCCGCCGGUGGUGGCCGGGAGUGGCGCCGCCAGCGUCCUCCGGUCUGGCCGCCGGCGGGAUGCUUCUCGUGAGAGGCGUGUUCUUCUGUUUUACCUUCUAGUGUUAGUCAGACGCCGGUUCGUAGCCUGAUGGUAGUGUCUCUCGGUCGCAUGCAUGCGCCUGUUGAGAGGUCUAGGGAUCGAGUCCCCCCCUCGGCGCCUUUUUGGUUGUUUUCCUUGUUUAUUUCGGGUCAUGGCAGUGCAGACAGAUUACCUUGCAUAUCUCCCUUCAUCUGUCAACAAGAAGCACCGUAGCGCUGUGGCGUGGUUGUGUGGUGCUGGACACCAGGGAACUGGGUUCGAACCCCAGCAGCCCUGUUUCUUUUUUUUAUUUUUAUUUUUGCAUUCUUUUCUUUUUCCUGCCUACUCAUUUCCUGUUUUCCUAACUCCUACACUUGUGUCUCAUCAGUUUUGUUCCCUGUUGUUUUUUUAUUUUACAAAUUCCUACGCAGUGGUGAUUGCUCCUGUUCCUGCUAGAAUAGUGGUAUAGAUUUAGUGUGAGAAUGUUUUACAUGCUAGGGGUGUUAAAUAGUUUUGCUAGCCGGUGAUUCUUAUAGUGGUUGUACCUUGGUGAUGAGGAGCCAACCCUGAUUAGGGCAUGUUGCUAGGUGCCUUGUUAAGUAUGGGUGUAGUGUUUGGAGGUGAUUAGUUGGCCUAGCUAUUCUUGCAAAGCCCUAGCUUGUGAAUCUUGGUGUGGUCUAAGGGAUAUUGUAGUUUUGUUAGCUUGCUUUGACAUAGUGGGGUGUGGGUGCCUCCCCCUCAUCACAUGUCUUGAGGUGAGGGAUGGCACUAGAUAGCUAUUUAUGAUAGCAUGUGAGGGUGUGGUUUGUUGUGGUAGUUUGCACAAUGUUGGUGACAUGAAUACUAGAAAGAUACUAGUGGUGCUUGGGAGGGUGUGCACCAUCACAUGCCCAUGUGUGGGGGGUGGUAUACCCUUUUGUUAUACAAAGAUUUCUUGUGUGUGAGCUUGAUGCUAGUGCUUGAGAGGAUUUGUGUGUGUGUUGGAGUUGUUGAUGUGCAUGACACAAACAUGGGGUUCAAAACCCCAUGUCACUUUGUCAUUGUGCACAUGAAACCCUCCUAUGCAUUGUCAUCUUAAAAGUAUACCUUUUGGAUUUGCAUUUUUCAUUUUGUUGAAAGUUUGGGCUUUGUUUCCAUGGUAUAGAUGGAGCCCAAAGGCAUGGAUCUUGGUGUGUUAGUUGUAGGGGUUUGUGCUCAAUACCAUAGUGGUGUCAAACACCUCUUGGGAACUUGUGUGUGCAAACUAUGCCUAGACAAAGUGGGCAUGUGGCUGGAAAAAUUCCAGAAUUUUGAACUCUGAAAAUUUCACUAAGUCUGGAAUGCUGAAAACAUUUUCUUCCCCUGUAGAUAAGGUUGUGCAGGUCAGUAUGUUGAGAACUGGACUUAGUUCAGUGCUAGUGUUUUGAACCUGGUAUGUUUGUGCAGCUUCCUGUCAAUUUUCAAGUCAUUUGGAGUCCAGUAGCUUGUGUUUUGAUUGCUGUCAAAAGGCUUCAGAACAGAAACAGAAACUCAGGUGCAGAAAUUUUCACUAAGUCCCUGAGAACUGAUGGUUCUGGGAAAGUUUGUGGCCUUGUAACUUCUAGAUUUUAAUUCCUUUUGCUGUGAUUCUUGCUGGAGAUGGUAGUGUUCUUGGUUGUCAACAUCCACAUAUAUUAUUUGUCAUGUUUGAAGACCUGUAGCUAUGUUGCAUGUGGCUCACAAACAGCUAAGAUGCAGAAACUGGCAG